RNAcentral lists this ribosomal RNA (454 nucleotides) under Janetia szepligetii. RNAcentral's name for it is "partial large subunit ribosomal RNA". The stretch from base 1 to 321 matches the Rfam family "Eukaryotic large subunit ribosomal RNA", at positions 329 to 664 of the family's 3401-position model. The record is from RNAcentral. Lineage: Eukaryota; Metazoa; Arthropoda; Insecta; Diptera; Cecidomyiidae.
CGAAACCGAUAGCGAACAAGUACCGUGAGGGAAAGUUGAAAAGUACUCUGAAUAGAGAGUUAAAUAGUACGUGAAACCGCUUAGGGGUUAAGCCCGAUGAACCCGAAUAUCUGAUGUGAGAAAUUCAAUACAAUUCAAAUUCAUAUUUUUAUAUUGGAUUUGUAUAGUAUGCACUUUUCUCAUAGUAAGACAUUGUAAUCCAUUGAUAUUAUAUCUCGAUUUCGAGAUGAUUUAACAUACGGACAAAAUGUUUAUGAUUAUUCUAUCAGUGAUAUGUUUACAUGUCAUAUGAAUAAAAUCGUUUUGUACCUGUUUAAAUAGUCGAUGGAUUUUUCAUUGAAAUCAUGCUUGCAAUUUAUUUUGCGUUUCGUAUCAUUAAUUUUUAAUUGUUGAUAGCAGAAAUGGCAUGUAUUCGAUUAACAAUGCGAUAGAUUUGGGAUACUUUCAGGACCCG